GAUGAACGCUGGCGGCGUGCCUAAUACAUGCAAGUCGAGCGGACGGACGCUACGCUUGCUUCUCUGUCGUUUGCGGCGGACGGGUGAGUCACACGUGGAUCCCCUACCUAUAAGACUGGGAUCACUUCGGGACACCGGCGCUAAUCCCGUAUAAUAUUUUGAUCCGCAUUGUUCAAUAGUGAAAUACGGUCUUUCUGUCUCUUCUAGCUGGAUCCGCGCUGCAUUAGCUAGUUGUUAAGGUAACGGCUUACCAAGGCAACCAUGCGUAGACGAACUGAGAGAGUGAUCGGCCACACUGGAACUGAGACACGGUCCAGAGUCCUAAGGGAGGCAGCAGUAGGGAAUGGUACGCAAUGGGCGAAAGCAUGACGGAACAACGCCGAGUGAGAGAUGAAGGUCUUCGGAGCGUGAAACUCGGUUAUGAGGGAAGAACAGAUGUGGAAGGAAAUGUGCACUUAGUGACGGUACCGAGUCAGAAAGCCACGGCUAACUACGUG
RNAcentral lists this ribosomal RNA (497 nucleotides) under uncultured bacterium. RNAcentral describes it as "partial 16S ribosomal RNA". It matches the Rfam family "Bacterial small subunit ribosomal RNA", at positions 28 to 507 of the family's 1533-position model. The record is from RNAcentral.